Molecule: ribosomal RNA, 348 nt
Filed under: uncultured bacterium
Lineage: Bacteria
Description: partial 16S ribosomal RNA
Rfam family: Bacterial small subunit ribosomal RNA
Source: RNAcentral
CCUACGGGGGACAGCAGUGGGGAAUAGUGCACAAUGGGGGAAACCCUGAUGCAGCGACGCCGCGUGAGAGAUGAAGUAGUUCGGUAUGUAAAGCUCGAUCAGCAGGGAAGAAAAUGACGGUACCUGACUAAGAAGCCCCGGCUAACGACGUGCCAGCAGCCGCGGUAAUACGUAGGGGGCAAGCGUUAUCCGGAUUUACUGGGUGUACAGGGAGCGUAGACGGUCCUGCAAGCCAGAUGUGAAAGCCCGGGGCUCAACCCCGGGACUGCAUUUGGAACUGUAAGGCUAGAGUGUCGGAGAGGCAGGCGGACUUCCUCGUGUAGCGGUGACCUGCGUAGAUAUUAGGCG